GGAUCAAUAUGUCGGUCGUGCCUUCGGUACGUACUGGUAUCAUUGGUCUCUCCUUUCUGACGAACCAUGAUGUCAUUAAUUUGGUGCGCCGGGGAAGCAGGACUGUUACCUUGAAAAAAUUAGAGUGCUUAAAGCAGGCUAUCGCCUGAAUACAUUAGCAUGGAAUAAUGAAAUAGGACGGCAUGGUUCUAUUUUGUUGGUUUCUAGGAUCACCGUA
This 217-nucleotide ribosomal RNA is filed under the name Campeiostachys nutans. RNAcentral's name for it is "Elymus nutans partial small subunit ribosomal RNA". The stretch from base 38 to 217 matches the Rfam family "Eukaryotic small subunit ribosomal RNA", at positions 684 to 864 of the family's 1831-position model. Lineage: Eukaryota; Viridiplantae; Streptophyta; Magnoliopsida; Poales; Poaceae. The record is from RNAcentral.